GAAUAUUAAAGGGCCGCGGUAUCUUGACCGUGCAAAGGUAGCAUAAUCAUUAGUCUUUUAAUUGGAGGCUUGUAUGAAUGGUUGGACAAGGGAAUUACUGUCUCUAUAAUAAUUUUAAAAUUUGACUUUUAAGUGAAAAGGCUUAAAUGUGUUAGGGGGACGAUAAGACCCUAUAAAGCGUUAUGUUGGGGCGACAAGAGUAUAAAUUUUAACUGCUUUAAAAUAAUACAUUUAUAUAUGUAAUGAUCCUCUUUAGGGAUUAAAAGAUUAAGUUACUUUAGGGAUAACAGCGUUAUUUUCUUUGAGAGUUCUUAUCGAAAAGAGAGUUUGCGACCUCGAUGUUGAAUUAAAAUUUCUAUUUAGUGCAGCAGCUGAAAUAGAGGGUCUGUUCGACCUUUGAAUUUUU
This 406-nucleotide ribosomal RNA is filed under the name Lyreidus tridentatus. RNAcentral describes it as "partial 16S large subunit ribosomal RNA". It matches the Rfam family "Archaeal large subunit ribosomal RNA", at positions 1995 to 2666 of the family's 2987-position model. Lineage: Eukaryota; Metazoa; Arthropoda; Malacostraca; Decapoda; Lyreididae. The record is from RNAcentral.